CCUACGGGUGGCAGCAGUCAGGAAUAUUGGGCAAUGGGCGAAAGCCUGACCCAGCAACGCCGCGUGAAGGAUGAAGGCCUUCGGGUCGUAAACUUCUGUCGAGAGGGAAGCGGUACCUCCAAAGGAAGCACCGGCUAACUCCGUGCCAGCAGCCGCGGUAAUACGGAGGGUGCAAGCGUUGUUCGGAUUCAUUGGGCGUAAAGCGAGUGUAGGCGGUUUGACAAGUCGGAUGUGAAAUCCCGGGGCCCAACCCCGGAACUGCAUCCGAUACUGUCUGGCUAGAGUCCCGGAGAGGGUGGCGGAAUUCCCGGUGUAGGGGUGAAAUCCGUAGAUAUCGGGAGGAACACCAGUGGCGAAGGCGGCCACCUGGACGGUACUGACGCUGAGACUCGAAAGCGUGGGUAGCAAACAGGAUUAGAUACCCUUGUAGUC
Molecule: ribosomal RNA, 432 nt
Filed under: uncultured bacterium
Lineage: Bacteria
Description: partial 16S ribosomal RNA
Rfam family: Bacterial small subunit ribosomal RNA
Source: RNAcentral